Molecule: long non-coding RNA, 775 nt
Organism: Herpailurus yagouaroundi (jaguarundi)
Lineage: Eukaryota; Metazoa; Chordata; Mammalia; Carnivora; Felidae
Exons: 2
Source: RefSeq, a predicted model, not a curated record
GGGAUUUUCAGUGGAAACCAGAUUCAGAGUCUAUAUGUGCCACUGACUUUUUAUCAGAUAAUUAUUUGUUGGAUUUUUAAAAAAUGAACGUACUUAUAAAGUCCUUAUGUUAUUUAAAAAUGUUUAAUGACAGCCAAUGUAUUGAGUUAAGAACCAUUAAAUAAAUACAUUCUCUGUUAGCAGGCUGGAAAGCCAGGCUAAAGAUUAUACACACAUCUGCUGCCAUCCAUCAUGCCUUAAUGCCAGUUAACCAUCACUUCUGGGCUGGAGUUAAUCAAGCCGGGCUCUCUCACCAGGUCCUAGUCAUGGUAGUUUACCACAUGGUAUUUGGACAAGUUAGAGGGAGAACAAGUAAUGGAAACACCCUUCUUCAGCAAAGCUUCUUGGAAACAGAAUUGGGAUAAGCAGAUGGUGAAUGUCACACUGGAUCAGCUGCAAUGGAUAGACACCAUGGGAGAGUCUCAAUGGACCCUCUGUUGUCCACCCUUGGCAUUAGGUAGUGACUCAGAUCUAACUUAGGCUGCUUUUAUGUAGCAACUACUGAACACUGCUAUUGCUUUUGAUGAAAAGAGCCCUGUGGAUUGUUUUUGAUCUGCAUAUUAACAAAGAAGAAAAAGACAGCCAGGUUAUUUCUUAGGAGCAGCAAGAAAGAUUUUCCCUUAAAGAUGUGCAAGACACAUCUCUGCUGGAACGUGCGCGCGCGCACACACACACACACACACACACAAUGAAACAAAAUGAAACAAAACAAAAUAAAACAAAUGCAAAACCCUUU